UCUCCUCAAAGCGUAGGGAAUUGCGAAUU
This 29-nucleotide non-coding RNA is filed under the name Mus musculus (house mouse). Lineage: Eukaryota; Metazoa; Chordata; Mammalia; Rodentia; Muridae. The record is from RNAcentral.